This 211-nucleotide ribosomal RNA is filed under the name uncultured bacterium. RNAcentral's name for it is "partial 16S ribosomal RNA". It matches the Rfam family "Bacterial small subunit ribosomal RNA", at positions 118 to 334 of the family's 1533-position model. The record is from RNAcentral.
UAGCUAAUCUGCCCUACACUAGAGGACAACAGUUGGAAACGGCUGCUAAUACUCUAUACUCCUGUCUUACAUAAGUUAGAUAGGAAAGUUUUCGGUGUAGGAUGAGGCUAUAUUGUAUCAGCUAGUUGGUGAGGUAAUGGCUCACCAAGGCUAUGACGCAUAACUGGUCUGAGAGGAUGAUCAGUCACACUGGAACUGAGACACGGUCCAG